RNAcentral lists this ribosomal RNA (492 nucleotides) under uncultured bacterium. Its description in RNAcentral is "partial 16S ribosomal RNA". It matches the Rfam family "Bacterial small subunit ribosomal RNA", at positions 29 to 507 of the family's 1533-position model. The record is from RNAcentral.
AGUGAACGCUGGCGGUAGGCCUAACACAUGCAAGUCGAACGGCAGCACAGUAAGAGCUUGCUCUUACGGGUGGCGAGUGGCGGACGGGUGAGGAAUACAUCGGAAUCUACUUUUUCGUGGGGGAUAACGUAGGGAAACUUACGCUAAUACCGCAUACGACCUACGGGUGAAAGCAGGGGAUCUUCGGACCUUGCGCGAUUGUAUGAGCCGAUGUCGGAUUAGCUAGUUGGCGGGGUAAAGGCCCACCAAGGCGACGAUCCGUAGCUGGUCUGAGAGGAUGAUCAGCCACACUGGAACUGAGACACGGUCCAGACUCCUACGGGAGGCAGCAGUGGGGAAUAUUGGACAAUGGGCGCAAGCCUGAUCCAGCCAUACCGCGUGGGUGAAGAAGGUCUUCGGGUUGUAAAGCCCUUUUGUUGGGGAAGAAAAGCAGCAGGUGAAUAUCUCGCUGUUCUGACGGUACCCAAAGAAUAAGCACCGGCUAACUUCGUG